This 781-nucleotide ribosomal RNA is filed under the name uncultured Bacteroides sp. RNAcentral's name for it is "bacterial SSU rRNA". It matches the Rfam family "Bacterial small subunit ribosomal RNA", at positions 393 to 1177 of the family's 1533-position model. The record is from RNAcentral. Lineage: Bacteria; Pseudomonadati; Bacteroidota; Bacteroidia; Bacteroidales; Bacteroidaceae.
CAAGUAGCGUGAAGGAUGACUGCCCUAUGGGUUGUAAANUUCUUUUAUAAGGGAAUAAAGUGAGGGACGUGUCCCUUUUUGUAUGUACCUUAUGAAUAAGGAUCGGCUAACUCCGCGCCAGCAGCCGCGGUAAUACGGAGGAUCCGAGCGUUAUCCGGAUUUAUUGGGUUUAAAGGGAGCGUAGGUUGACGUAUAAGUCAGCUGUGAAAGUUUACGGCUCAACCGUGAAAUUGCAGUUGAUACUGUAUGUCUUGAGUGUACAAGAGGUGGGCGGAAUUCGUGGUGUAGCGGUGAAAUGCUUAGAUAUCACGAAGAACUCCAAUUGCGAAGGCAGCUCACUGGGGUACAACUGACACUGAGGCUCGAAAGUGUGGGUAUCAAACAGGAUUAGAUACCCUGGUAGUCCACACAGUAAACGAUGAAUACUCGCUGUUUGCGAUAUACAGUAAGCGGCCAAGCGAAAGCAUUAAGUAUUCCACCUGGGGAGUACGCCGGCAACGGUGAAACUCAAAGGAAUUGACGGGGGCCCGCACAAGCGGAGGAACAUGUGGUUUAAUUCGAUGAUACGCGAGGAACCUUACCCGGGCUUGAAUUGCAGAGGAACAUAGUUGAAAGAUUAUGGCCGCAAGGUCUCUGUGAAGGUGCUGCAUGGUUGUCGUCAGCUCGUGCCGUGAGGUGUCGGCUUAAGUGCCAUAACGAGCGCAACCCUUAUCAUUAGUUACUAACAGGUCAUGCUGAGGACUCUAGUGAGACUGCCGUCGUAAGAUGUGAGGAAGGUGGA